AAACUUUACAAUGCUGGCAACAGCGAUAAGGGGACCUCGAGUGCCAGGAUACAAUCUUGGCUGUCGCGAUGCCUAAAAAGCAUUGCAUAGCAAGGGCCGGGCAAGACCGGUGCCAGCCGCCGCGGUAACACCGGCGGCUCGAGUGGUAACCGCUAUUAUUGGGUCUAAAGGGUCUGUAGCCGGCCGGAUAAGUCUCUUGGGAAAUCCAGCUGCUCAACAGUUGGGCUUUCAGGAGAUACUGUUCGGCUCGAGGCCGGGAGAGGUGAGAGGUACUUCAGGGGUAGGGGUGAAAUCUUGUAAUCCUUGAAGGACCACCAGUGGCGAAGGCGUCUCACCAGAACGGUCCUGACGGCAAGGGACGAAAGCUAGGGGCACGAACCGGAUUAGAUACCCGGGUAGUCCUAGCCGUAAACGAUACUCGCUAGGUGUCAGCCACGGUGCGACCGUGGUUGGUGCCGUAGGGAAGCCGUGAAGCGAGCCACCUGGGAAGUACGGCCGCAAGGCUGAAACUUAAAGGAAUUGGCGGGGGAGCACUACAACGGGUGGAGCCUGCGGUUU
RNAcentral lists this ribosomal RNA (558 nucleotides) under uncultured Methanosaeta sp. RNAcentral describes it as "bacterial SSU rRNA". It matches the Rfam family "Archaeal small subunit ribosomal RNA", at positions 345 to 903 of the family's 1478-position model. Lineage: Archaea; Methanobacteriati; Methanobacteriota; Methanomicrobia; Methanotrichales; Methanotrichaceae. The record is from RNAcentral.